RNAcentral lists this ribosomal RNA (640 nucleotides) under Agreia sp. EA7. Its description in RNAcentral is "bacterial SSU rRNA". It matches the Rfam family "Bacterial small subunit ribosomal RNA", at positions 135 to 789 of the family's 1533-position model. The record is from RNAcentral. Lineage: Bacteria; Bacillati; Actinomycetota; Actinomycetes; Micrococcales; Microbacteriaceae.
ACUCUGGAAUAAGCGUUGGAAACGACGUCUAAUACCGGAUACGAGCUUCCGCCGCAUGGUGAGGAGCUGGAAAGAAUUUCGGUCAAGGAUGGACUCGCGGCCUAUCAGGUAGUUGGUGAGGUAAUGGCUCACCAAGCCUACGACGGGUAGCCGGCCUGAGAGGGUGACCGGCCACACUGGAACUGAGACACGGUCCAGACUCCUACGGGAGGCAGCAGUGGGGAAUAUUGCACAAUGGGCGCAAGCCUGAUGCAGCAACGCCGCGUGAGGGACGACGGCCUUCGGGUUGUAAACCUCUUUUAGUAGGGAAGAAGCGAAAGUGACGGUACCUGCAGAAAAAGCACCGGCUAACUACGUGCCAGCAGCCGCGGUAAUACGUAGGGUGCAAGCGUUAUCCGGAAUUAUUGGGCGUAAAGAGCUCGUAGGCGGUUUGUCGCGUCUGCUGUGAAAACUGGGGGCUCAACCCCCAGCCUGCAGUGGGUACGGGCAGACUAGAGUGCGGUAGGGGAGAUUGGAAUUCCUGGUGUAGCGGUGGAAUGCGCAGAUAUCAGGAGGAACACCGAUGGCGAAGGCAGAUCUCUGGGCCGUAACUGACGCUGAGGAGCGAAAGCAUGGGGAGCGAACAGGAUUAGAUACCCUG